This 151-nucleotide small nuclear RNA is filed under the name Phaseolus vulgaris (common bean). RNAcentral's name for it is "U1 spliceosomal RNA". It matches the Rfam family "U1 spliceosomal RNA". Rfam says of the family: U1 is a small nuclear RNA (snRNA) component of the spliceosome (involved in pre-mRNA splicing). Its 5' end forms complementary base pairs with the 5' splice junction, thus defining the 5' donor site of an intron. There are significant differences in sequence and secondary structure between metazoan and yeast U1 snRNAs, the latter being much longer (568 nucleotides as compared to 164 nucleotides in human). The record is from Rfam by way of RNAcentral. Lineage: Eukaryota; Viridiplantae; Streptophyta; Magnoliopsida; Fabales; Fabaceae.
AUACUUACCUAGAUGACACCAAUGAGUGAUCAAGAAAGCUUAUGGUGUAGGGUAGUGUCCGUCAUUGCACUUGAAAGGAGUGUUGCUCUAAGGUUUUUCCAAGUAACAAAGUCUAUGUCAUAAUUUAUGGUAGAGAAAACAUAGGUUUGCG